Molecule: ribosomal RNA, 301 nt
Filed under: uncultured bacterium
Lineage: Bacteria
Description: partial 16S ribosomal RNA
Rfam family: Bacterial small subunit ribosomal RNA
Source: RNAcentral
CAGCCGCCGCGGGAAUACGUAGGGCGCGAGCGUUAAUCGGAAUUACUUGGCGUAAAGCGUGCGCAGGCGGUUCGUUAAGACAGAUGUGAAAUCCCCGGGCUUAACCUGGGAACUGCAUUUGCGACUGGCGAGCUAGAGUAUGGCAGAGGGGGGUAGAAUUCCACGUGUAGCAGUGAAAUGCGUAGAGAUGUGGAGGAAUACCGAUGGCGAAGGCAGCCCCCUGGGCCAAUACUGACGCUCAUGCACGAAAGCGUGGGGAGCAAACAGGAUUAGAUACCCGAGUAGUCCCUGUCUCUUAUAC